AUACGGAGGGGGCUAGCGUUGUUCGGAAUUACUGGGCGUAAAGCGCACGUAGGCGGCGCACGCAGUCAGAGGUGAAAGGCCUGGGCUCAACCCAGGAACUGCCUUUGAUACUGGUGUGCUAGAGUCCGGGAGAGGGUAGCGGAAUUCCCAGUGUAGAGGUGAAAUUCGUAGAUAUUGGGAAGAACACCGGUUGCGAAGGCGGCUACCUGGACCGGUACUGACGCUGAGGUGCGAAAGCGUGGGGAGCAAACAGGAUUAGAAACCCCGGUAGUCC
RNAcentral lists this ribosomal RNA (274 nucleotides) under uncultured bacterium. Its description in RNAcentral is "partial 16S ribosomal RNA". It matches the Rfam family "Bacterial small subunit ribosomal RNA", at positions 523 to 796 of the family's 1533-position model. The record is from RNAcentral.